UUUUCUCCACAGUAAGCUGCACCCUUGCAGCUCUUCAGUGAAAAGAAGAAUUUGCCUGCCUAAGAUGACACUUCAUGGGUCAAUGGACAAAUAUACACAUGUGAGAAACAUCAGACAUUUUCUCUAUAAACAGCACAAACAUGGAUCCACCCUCUGAGUGAUGAUAAAUGGUCAGUAUGUACAGUAUGGCACAAAGGGACAGUGAAGCUGGUUUACUGGGCCAGAUUUUCCAGCUCAUGAAUCAUCAUGUUUCUUUGUACAUGUAUGUAUCCAAGUGUGUCAGACAUUGUGUGUCUGCUUUUAUAAAAAGAGGUUUUCUCCAUCAGUCAGACAUCAGUCUCAUCUCGGACCAGGCUGGUGACACAGACGUGAUCUCUCUUCACCUACCGAACACAGACUCUAAGUUACAGCUAUGGCUCGCAUGGAACAGGCCAUUCAAAACAUUGUGGAUAUGUUUGUGGAGUAUGCUGAUGGCGAUGGCAAGUUAAACAAAGAGGAGUUAAGGAAGAUGAUGGAAAAAGAAAUUCAAAACCCUGAGAUUAAAGUAAGAGACUUUACAUGAUUAAGUAACAAUGUGCAUCCACAUCCAUAUUUAACACAUUCAUUCAGUUGACUUGGACAAGAUCAUGGAGAGGAUGGACAGGAACCGCGAUGGAGAGGUCAACUUCAAAGAGUUUGUUAAGUGUGUGGUUUUCAUGGCCAAAUGCCUCUACCGCAAGAAGACAGGGAGGUGCCAAGAAGAGGAAGACUAAGCAGAAGGCUGAUGGCCUGUGUGACACCGUCUACACUGACAACAGAAGCUACAGAGUGUGACUUUCAUAGUCUCUGUAAAUCGGUUUUCAACAUUAUGUCACCUUCAGUACAGGCUGAGGAAGAAUAAAAACUAUGAUGUUUAA
This is a long non-coding RNA of Lates calcarifer (barramundi perch), 896 nucleotides long. RefSeq lists it as uncharacterized. The record is from RefSeq and is a predicted model, not a curated record. The transcript is spliced from 2 exons. NCBI's taxonomy places the organism in Eukaryota, Metazoa, Chordata, Actinopteri, Centropomidae.